Molecule: ribosomal RNA, 492 nt
Filed under: uncultured bacterium
Lineage: Bacteria
Description: partial 16S ribosomal RNA
Rfam family: Bacterial small subunit ribosomal RNA
Source: RNAcentral
AGUGAACGCUGGCGGUAGGCCUAACACAUGCAAGUCGAACGGCAGCACAGUAAGAGCUUGCUCUUACGGGUGGCGAGUGGCGGACGGGUGCGGAAUACAUCGGAAUCUACUUUUUCGUGGGGGAUAACGUAGGGAAACUUACGCUAAUACCGCAUACGACCUACGGGUGAAAGCAGGGGAUCUUCGGACCUUGCGCGAUUGAAUGAGCCGAUGUCGGAUUCGCUAGUUGGCGGGGUAAAGGCCCACCAAGGCGACGAUCCGUAGCUGGUCUGAGAGGAUGAUCAGACAGACUGGAAGUGAGACACGGUCCACACUCCGACGGGGAGACGCAGUGGGGAAUAUUGCACGAUGGGGGCGAGCCUGAUACAGCCAUACCGCGUGGGUGAAGAAGGCCUUCGGGUUGGAAAGCGCUGUUGUUGGGAAAGAAAAGCAGCAGGUUAAUACCCCGCGGUUCUGACGGUACCGAAAGAAUAAGCACCGGCUAACUUCGUG